AACGAACGCUGGCGGCAUGCCUAACACAUGCAAGUCGAACGAGACCUUCGGGUCUAGUGGCGCACGGGUGCGUAACGCGUGGGAACCUGCCCUUAGGUUCGGAAUAACUCCCCGAAAGGGGUGCUAAUACCGGAUAAUGUCUUCGGACCAAAGAUUUAUCGCCUUUGGAUGGGCCCGCGUUGGAUUAGCUAGUUGGUAGGGUAAAAGCCUACCAAGGCGACGAUCCAUAGCUGGUCUGAGAGAAAGGUCAGCCACACUGGGACUGAGACACGGCCCAGACUCCUACGGGAGGCGGCAGUGGGGAAUAUUGGACAGUGGGCGAAAGCAUGAUCCAGCAAUGCCGGGUGAGUGAUGAAGGCCUUAGGGUUGUAAAGCUCUUUUACCCGGGAUGAUAAUGACGGUACCGGGAGAAUAAGCUCCGGCUAACUCCGUG
This 433-nucleotide ribosomal RNA is filed under the name uncultured bacterium. RNAcentral's name for it is "partial 16S ribosomal RNA". It matches the Rfam family "Bacterial small subunit ribosomal RNA", at positions 29 to 507 of the family's 1533-position model. The record is from RNAcentral.